RNAcentral lists this ribosomal RNA (1406 nucleotides) under metagenome. RNAcentral describes it as "bacterial SSU rRNA". It matches the Rfam family "Bacterial small subunit ribosomal RNA". The record is from RNAcentral.
AUAUAUCUGGAUGAGAGUAGCGCACGGGUGCGUAACGCGUAUGCAAUCUGCCAUUGACUGGGGGAUAGCCCUCCGAAAGGGGGAUUAAUACCGCGUAAUAUAAUGAAGGGGCAUCCCUUUAUUAUCAAACCUCAGGGGGUCAAUGAUGAGCAUGCGUUCGAUUAGCUAGUUGGUGAGGUACGGCUCACCAAGGCGACGAUCGAUAGGGGGUCUGAGAGGAUGAUCCCCCACACUGGUACUGAGACACGGACCAGACUCCUACGGGAGGCAGCAGUAAGGAAUAUUGGACAAUGGGCGCAAGCCUGAUCCAGCCAUGCCGCGUGCAGGACUAAGGCCCUAUGGGUUGUAAACUGCUUUUGGACAGAAAAAAAUCUCUCGACGUGUCGAGAGUUGAUGGUACUGUCAGAAUAAGGAUCGGCUAACUCCGUGCCAGCAGCCGCGGUAAUACGGAGGAUCCAAGCGUUAUCCGGAUUUAUUGGGUUUAAAGGGUGCGUAGGCGGAUUAGUAAGUCAGUGGUGAAAGCCUGCAGCUUAACUGUAGAAUUGCCAUUGAUACUGCUAGUCUUGAAUAUAGUUGAGGUGGGCGGAAUAUGACAUGUAGCGGUGAAAUGCUUAGAUAUGUCAUAGAACACCAAUUGCGAAGGCAGCUCGCUAAGCUAUUAUUGACGCUGAGGCACGAAAGCGUGGGGAGCAAACAGGAUUAGAUACCCUGGUAGUCCACGCCCUAAACGAUGAAUACUCGAUGUUGGCGAUACACAGUCAGCGUCUAAGCGAAAGCAUUAAGUAUUCCACCUGGGGAGUACGGUCGCAAGACUGAAACUCAAAGGAAUUGACGGGGGCCCGCACAAGCGGAGGAGCAUGUGGUUUAAUUCGAUGAUACGCGAGGAACCUUACCUGGGCUUGAAAGUUAGUGAAUUCCGCAGAAACGCGGGAGGCCGAAAGGACACGAAACUAGGUGCUGCAUGGCUGUCGUCAGCUCGUGCCGUGAGGUGUUGGGUUAAGUCCCGCAACGAGCGCAACCCCUAUGUUUAGUUGCCAGCACGUAAUGGUGGGGACUCUAGACAGACUGCCUGCGCAAGCAGUGAGGAAGGUGGGGACGACGUCAAGUCAUCACGGCCCUUACGUCCAGGGCUACACACGUGCUACAAUGGAUGGUACAACGGGUUGCUACAUGGUAACAUGAUGCUAAUCUCUAAAACCAUUCUCAGUUCGGAUUGAGGUCUGCAACUCGACCUCAUGAAGCUGGAUUCGCUAGUAAUCGCGUAUCAGCAAUGACGCGGUGAAUACGUUCCCGGGCCUUGUACACACCGCCCGUCAAGCCAUGGGAGUUGGGGGUACCUGAAGUCGAUAACCGCAAGGAGUCGCCUAGGGUAAAACCGAUGACUAGGGCUAAGUCGUAACAAGGUA